AGCGGUCCUGUGUGCUGGGUUCCCAGCAGUUAUGUUGCUGUGCAACCCUUACUUCUUGAAAUAAUGCCAAUUUCAAUACCGAAAUCUUGAAUAAUUUCUUUUUCCUCUCAGGGAGAGGGGAAGGUUACGACCCACAACUCUGUCUUUUGGGGGAUGUCAUUUACCCACCUCAAUUUAAGCCACUUUAGGGCUGAAGUGCCUCCAACCUUCCUGAGAUACGGGGCAACGACGGCAUUUCAUUAGGCCACCUACAAAGUGAAAUAUAAAGACCAUGAAGCUCCCACAAGAUACUGCGGUGUGUGCUGUACAAAAGUUUAUUAGCUACACCGGGAUAUGAUAAAAACAUUCUCCUCCCAGUUUUGGAGGGAAAUUGGGUAUUGGCUUGUGAAUCCCCCGCCGAGGUGCAAAGAACUACAUCAUCCGUUUCUAAGCAGCUGAGACAGCAAAAUCCAGAAGGUAAUUUAGAGUAUUGCAGCAGAAGUCUUCAACAGAGUUUAAUUAAAGUGUUCUGGUGAUCUGAAGAUAUCCAUAACCCAGCGCUAAAAUUAAAGAAGUCCCCGUCCACAGAAUUUGUUCUCAGGCUCCCGAUGCCAGUUGGCGCCGUUGUGCGUAAAUACAUAUCACCUGUGUAAAUCUCCAGUUAAUGGCCAAAAUACAGCAUGGUUGUUCAACCACCUCCAAGGAAGCGAUGCAACGCCAAGAUAGGAGGCACCUGGUCCCAGCUGGUUGAUUCAGAUCACAGGAGUGAGGCGUUCUCUGCCUAAGAUUUCUGUGCGCUUGAUGGAGAGAAUGAGGACAAGAGAGAAGCUUCACGGGGAACAAAAUUACAGAACUUCAGCUGAAAAGCAUUGGUCCAAGUUUUGGCAUGAAGACAUUUCUCUGGGACAUGUUCACUACGUGGGCUGAAAAUUAUCUUGGGUUAAACUGGUAAAAGGCAGCCUCUGCUUUAAAAUCCCUCCCAAAUAUCCUGAUUCUCAAGGCAAUUUAUUGCUGGGAGUCAUGCUGAAAGGUGUUUACUGGCAGAGGGGAAUAAAAAAACAAAUAUAGAACA
Molecule: long non-coding RNA, 1051 nt
Filed under: Calidris pugnax (ruff)
Lineage: Eukaryota; Metazoa; Chordata; Aves; Charadriiformes; Scolopacidae
Description: lncRNA (ENSCPUG00000008947.1)
Source: RNAcentral